GGUUGUGGCUCAGUGGUAGAGCACUUGCCUAGCAUGUAUGAGGCACUGGGUUCAAUUCUCAGCACCA
This 67-nucleotide transfer RNA is filed under the name Marmota monax (woodchuck). RNAcentral's name for it is "tRNA.Ala". It matches the Rfam family "tRNA". From Rfam's summary of the family: Transfer RNA (tRNA) molecules are approximately 80 nucleotides in length. RNAcentral also lists the same sequence under 1 other name. The record is from RNAcentral. Lineage: Eukaryota; Metazoa; Chordata; Mammalia; Rodentia; Sciuridae.